RNAcentral lists this ribosomal RNA (1739 nucleotides) under metagenome. RNAcentral describes it as "bacterial LSU rRNA". It matches the Rfam family "Bacterial large subunit ribosomal RNA", at positions 994 to 2737 of the family's 2925-position model. The record is from RNAcentral.
GGUGCUAACGUCCGGACACAAGAGGGAAACAACCCAGACCGCCAGCUAAGGUCCCCAAAUAUUGCUAAGUGGGAAACGAAGUGGGAAGGCUAAAACAGUCAGGAGGUUGGCUUAGAAGCAGCCAUCCUUUAAAGAAAGCGUAAUAGCUCACUGAUCGAGUCGUCCUGCGCGGAAGAUGUAACGGGGCUAAGCAAUAUACCGAAGCUGCGGAUGCACAUUUAUGUGCAUGGUAGGAGAGCGUUCCGUAAGCCUGCGAAGGUGCAUUGAAAAGUGCGCUGGAGGUAUCGGAAGUGCGAAUGCUGACAUGAGUAGCGAUAAAGGGGGUGAAAGGCCCCCUCGCCGUAAGCCCAAGGUUUCCUACGCAACGUUCAUCGGCGUAGGGUGAGUCGGCCCCUAAGGCGAGGCAGAGAUGCGUAGCUGAUGGGAAGCAGGUUAAUAUUCCUGCACCGUCGUAUGAUGCGAUGGGGGGACGGAUCGCGGAAGGUUGUCCGGGUGUUGGAAGUCCCGGUCCUUGCAUUGGAGAAGGCGCUUAGGCAAAUCCGGGCGCGGAAUUCAAGGAUGUGGGGCGAGCGGCCUAGUGCUGCGAAGCAAUUGGAAGUGGUUCCAAGAAAAGCCUCUAAGCUUCAGUCAUACGAGACCGUACCGCAAACCGACACAGGUGGGCGAGAUGAGUAUUCUAAGGCGCUUGAGAGAACUCGGGAGAAGGAACUCGGCAAAUUGGUACCGUAACUUCGGGAUAAGGUACGCCCCUGUAGCUUGACUGGCCUGCGCCAGGAGGGUGAAGGGGUUGCAAUAAACUGGUGGCUGCGACUGUUUAAUAAAAACACAGCACUCUGCAAACACGAAAGUGGACGUAUAGGGUGUGACGCCUGCCCGGUGCCGGAAGAUUAAAUGAUGGGGUGCAAGCUCUUGAUUGAAGUCCCGGUAAACGGCGGCCGUAACUAUAACGGUCCUAAGGUAGCGAAAUUCCUUGUCGGGUAAGUUCCGACCUGCACGAAUGGCGUAACGAUGGCCACACUGUCUCCUCCCGAGACUCAGCGAAGUUGAAGUGUUUGUGAUGAUGCAAUCUCCCCGCGGCUAGACGGAAAGACCCCAUGAACCUUUACUGUAGCUUUGCAUUGGACUUUGAACCGAUCUGUGUAGGAUAGGUGGGAGGCUAUGAAGCGUGGACGCCAGUCUGCGUGGAGCCGUCCUUGAAAUACCACCCUGGUUUGUUUGAGGUUCUAACCUUGGUCCGUUAUCCGGACUGGGGACAGUGCAUGGUAGGCAGUUUGACUGGGGCGGUCUCCUCCCAAAGUGUAACGGAGGAGUACGAAGGUACGCUAGGUACGGUCGGAAAUCGUGCUGAUAGUGCAAUGGCAUAAGCGUGCUUAACUGCGAGACCGACAAGUCGAGCAGGUGCGAAAGCAGGUCAUAGUGAUCCGGUGGUUCUGUAUGGAAGGGCCAUCGCUCAACGGAUAAAAGGUACUCUGGGGAUAACAGGCUGAUACCGCCCAAGAGUUCAUAUCGACGGCGGUGUUUGGCACCUCGAUGUCGGCUCAUCUCAUCCUGGGGCUGUAGCCGGUCCCAAGGGUAUGGCUGUUCGCCAUUUAAAGAGGUACGUGAGCUGGGUUUAAAACGUCGUGAGACAGUUUGGUCCCUAUCUGCCGUGGGCGUUGGAUAUUUGAAGGGGGCUGCUCCUAGUACGAGAGGACCGGAGUGGACGAACCUCUGGUGUACCGGUUGUCACGCCAGUGGCA